Molecule: long non-coding RNA, 715 nt
Filed under: Olea europaea (common olive)
Lineage: Eukaryota; Viridiplantae; Streptophyta; Magnoliopsida; Lamiales; Oleaceae
Description: long non-coding RNA (OEUR_LNC010320)
Source: RNAcentral
CUCCAAAUUUAAAACACAACCCCGGGAUUAUUGAGUGAAAAGAAUAAGUUUGGGGGUUGUGUAUCUCUCGAGCGAGUAAGGAUAUAUUUGACCACUUGGGGUCGGGACUCAAACUCAUCAUGAACUUGAUAUGUUAGCGUGAAUCCACACACACACGUCAAGUAUGCAUUUAACAGGUAAAGGUUGAUGUCAUUUUACACUGAUAAAUUUUCAUAAAAUCAAUUACUUAGUCCAAUCCUGAGUCAAGGUAAGGUGUUAAACCAUGUUUGUUUAGAAUUAAGUCCCUAUCUUGUUUGAGGACAAACAAUAGUUCAAGUUUGGGGGGUUUGAUAAAUGUGUUUUUGCACACUUAUUUAGAUUGCAAACAUGACUUAAAUACAAACAAAAUGAUUGAAUUGUGACUUAAUCUCAUUGAAUUCAUGCAAUGUAGGUGUUUCUAUGGAAAUAGUGGAAUUUAGGAGAAGAGAGCCGAAAAAGGACUAAAAUGGAGCAAAGUGAUAGUUCAGGGACUAAGGAUGCAAAUAUUCGAAAGUUGAACUAAAAGACAACUCGGGAAUGCAAAUAUGCUAAGUAUGAACUCGAAAGCAAUACAAGAUGAUUGGAAGAAGAAGGAAUUGCAAAGGGACUAAAAUGAAUUAAAUUGAAAGUUCGGGGACCAAGUUGCAAAUAAUUCAUAGAUGAGACGGGAAAUGGAAUGAAGAUUCAAGAGUGUUAG